This 657-nucleotide ribosomal RNA is filed under the name uncultured bacterium. RNAcentral's name for it is "bacterial SSU rRNA". It matches the Rfam family "Bacterial small subunit ribosomal RNA", at positions 232 to 885 of the family's 1533-position model. The record is from RNAcentral.
CGCGGCCUAUCAGCUUGUUGGUGAGGUAAUGGCUUACCAAGGCGACGACGGGUAGCCGGCCUGAGAGGGCGAUCGGCCACACUGGGACUGAGACACGGCCCAGACUCCUACGGGAGGCAGCAGUGGGGAAUAUUGCACAAUGGGCGAAAGCCUGAUGCAGCGACGCCGCGUGAGGGAUGAAGGCCUUCGGGUUGUAAACCUCUUUCAGCAGGGAAGAAGCAGCCGGGUUCUCUUGGUUGUGACGGUACCUGCAGAAGAAGCACCGGCUAACUACGUGCCAGCAGCCGCGGUAAUACGUAGGGUGCAAGCGUUGUCCGGAAUUAUUGGGCGUAAAGAGCUUGUAGGCGGUUUGUCGCGUCUGCUGUGAAAUUUCGGGGCUCAACCCCGAACUUGCAGUGGGUACGGGCAGACUAGAGUGUGGUAGGGGAGACUGGAAUUCCUGGUGUAGCGGUGAAAUGCGCAGAUAUCAGGAGGAACACCGAUGGCGAAGGCAGGUCUCUGGGCCACUACUGACGCUGAGAAGCGAAAGCAUGGGGAGCGAACAGGAUUAGAUACCCUGGUAGUCCAUGCCGUAAACGUUGGGAACUAGGUGUGGGCCUCAUUCCACGAGGUCCGUGCCGCAGCUAACGCAUUAAGUUCCCCGCCUGGGGAGUACGG